Molecule: long non-coding RNA, 2390 nt
Organism: Hypanus sabinus (Atlantic stingray)
Lineage: Eukaryota; Metazoa; Chordata; Chondrichthyes; Myliobatiformes; Dasyatidae
Exons: 3
Source: RefSeq, a predicted model, not a curated record
GUUUAAUUCGUCAGUUACUCCGAUAUGCUGCGUAUUUGUCUCAUGAUGCUGUUUCGUUUUAAAGUGGAGUUUUACUUUCUAUUCUAAGACACGUAACAGUACCUCAUCCACGUCAUCCGACUCGAGUCUCCUGCUGAAUGAAGAGAUUUAUCCUCAAGCCCGCUCACAGGGAUACGGAUUCUAUUACAAGAAUCACUCCUUCUAAUGAUGAUCAAUAAGCUAUGCCUCAUAAACAGAGGACGAAGAAAACUGCUACCGCGAAGACCGCUCAAGUUGGAACAGAAUCAAGGCCUACUUCUACCGAAGAACCGCGGACUCAGGUACAAUACACCACCGGUGAAACAGAAAAGGAGACUGCGGCAGCAUCGGCCAUUUCUAAAGGGAAAGAUCAACGAGAACUGGGCAAGCGUAAAGGAACGAGCAUGCGCAAAAGAGAACAACCAGAACUACAAAUCCCAGCAACGACUGAAACCGACAGUGAAAGUGAGUCUGAGAGAGAGACAGACUCUCUGGAAAAAAUCAGAUGAAGAUGGAGAAGAUGAAAGUUCCUCUGAAAGUACAAAAAAGACUUUGAGGCAAAUAAUGCAUAAAUUAGAAAAAUUAAAUGCAUUAAAAGUAAUUAAAAGUGGGACUAGGUGAGAGUAAGCGUUCGGCACAGACUAGAAGGGCCAAGAUUGCCUGUUUCCGUGCUGUAGAUGUUACAUGGUUAUAUGGUUAGGAGAGCCAGGAGGGUCCUUGGUGGGCAGGAUUAAGGAAUACCCCAAGGCAUUCUACAAUGUGAAGAGCAGGAGGAUAAGACAUGAAAGAAUAGGACCUAUCAAAUGUGACAGUGGGAAAGUGUAUAUGGAAAUGGAGGAAAUAGCAGAGGUACUUAAUGACUACUUCUGUAUUCACUAUGGAAAAUGCUCUUGGUGAUAGUGACGCCUUGCAGCAGAUUGAAAAGUUUGAGCAUGUAGAUAUUAAGAAAAAAGAUGUGCUGGAGCUUUUGGAAAGCACCAAGUUGGAUAUGUACCUGCAUGCCAACUUUUUGUGAUUCAUGCACAAGCACUCCCAAGUCCCUCUGCACAACAACAAGCUGCAAUCUUUCACUAUUUAAAUAAUAAUUUGCUCUUCUAUCAUUCCUUCCAAAGUACAUGAUCUCACAUUUACAAACGUUGUAUUCCAUCUGCCAGAACUUGGCCCACUCACUUAACCUAUCUAUAUCCCUCUGCAGACUCUCCACAUCCUCUGUACAAUUUGCUUUUCCACUUAUUUUAGUGUCAUCAGCAAAUUUUGCUAUGCUACGCUCAGUCCCCUCUUCCAAAUCAUCAAUAUAAAUGGUAAACAGCUGCGGUCCCAGCACCGACCCCUGUGGCACCCCACUCACCACAGACUGCCAACCGGAGAAAUACCCAUUUAUACCAACUCUCUGCCUUCUAUUGUUAUGAAUUCACUAUCCAUGCCAAUACAUUUCCUUCGACUCCGUGUAUCCGUAUCUUAUUUAUAAGUCUCUUGUGCUGCACCUUAUCAAAUGCCUUCUGGAAAUCCAAGUUUAUGCCAUCCAUCUGUUCCCCUCUAUCCAUUACACUCAUUAUGUCCUCAAAGAACUCCAAAAAGUUUGUCAAACAGGACCUGCCCUUUCUGAAUCCAUGCUGCGUCUGUCUAAUGGAAUCACUCCUUUCUAAAUGUUCCUCUACUUCUUCCUUAAUGAUAGCUUCAAGCAUUUUCCUGACUACAGAGUUAGCUGACUACAGCUAACUGGCCUAUAGUUACCAGGCUUUUCUUUUAAAAAGUGGCGUGACAUUUCCUGCCUUCCAAUCCACCGGGACCUGCCCAGAGUCUGGAGAGUUUUGACAAAUGAUUGCCAGUAUGUCUACUAUAACCUCCGCCAAUUCCUUCAGUACUCUGGGAUGCAUCCCAUCAGGACCAGGAGACUUACCUACCUUCAGGCCCUCUAAUUUAGACAAUAGGUGUAAAAGUAGACUAUUCAGCCUUUCGAGCCUGCACCGCCAUUCUGAGAUCAUGGCUGAUCAUCUGCUAUCAAUCCCCGGUUUCUGCCUUGUCCCCAUAUCCCUUGAUUCCCUUAUCCAUAAGAUACCUAUCUAGCUCCUUCUUGAAAGCAUCCAGAGAACUGGCCUCCACUGCCUUCUGAGGCAGUGCAUUCCACACCCCCAGAACUCUCUGGGAGAAGAAGUUUUUCCUUAACUCUGUCCUAAAUGACCUACCCCUUAUUCUCAAACCAUGCCCUCUGGUACUGGACUCUCCCAGCAUCUGGAACAUAUUUCCUGCCUCGAUCUUGUCCAAUCCCUUAAUAAUCUUAUAUGUUUCAAUCAGAUCCCCUCUCAAUCUCCUUAAUUCCAGCGUGUACAAGCCCAGUCUCUCUAACCUUUCUGCGUAAGACAGUCCUGACA